GGACCCGCACAAGCGGUGGAGUAUGUGGCUUAAUUCGAUGCAACGCGAAGAACCUUACCUAGGCUUGACAUGCUUGUCGUACUCUCCCGAAAAGGAGAGGUCACUUCGGGUGGACAAUGCACAGGUGCUGCAUGGCCGUCGUCAGCUCGUGUCGUGAGAUGUUUGGUUAAGUCCAGCAACGAGCGCAACCCCUGUGAACUGUUGCCAGCGCGUAAAGGCGGGGACUCUGUUCAGACUGCCCAGAUCAACUGGGAGGAAGGUGGGGACGACGUCAGGUCAGUAUGGCCCUUACGCCUAGGGCUGCACACGUACUACAAUGCCCAGCACAAUGAGAACCGAGACCGCAAGGUGGAGGAAAUCUGCAAAACUGGGCCCAGUUCGGAUUGGAGGCUGCAACUCGCCUCCAUGAAGUCGGAAUCGCUAGUAAUGCCGUAUC
This 436-nucleotide ribosomal RNA is filed under the name uncultured bacterium. Its description in RNAcentral is "bacterial SSU rRNA". It matches the Rfam family "Bacterial small subunit ribosomal RNA", at positions 917 to 1350 of the family's 1533-position model. The record is from RNAcentral.